GGGGACGUAGCUCAGUCGGUCAGAGCCUCAGGGUCGGGAGUUCGAGCCUCCCCGUCCCCUCCA
This 63-nucleotide transfer RNA is filed under the name Caudoviricetes sp. Its description in RNAcentral is "tRNA-OTHER". It matches the Rfam family "tRNA". From Rfam's summary of the family: Transfer RNA (tRNA) molecules are approximately 80 nucleotides in length. Lineage: Duplodnaviria; Heunggongvirae; Uroviricota; Caudoviricetes. The record is from RNAcentral.